GGGGAAAAAUUAAUAAAUUUGUAUUUUAAUAAAAUUAAUUUUAAUUUAUAUAAUAUUUAAUGGGGGUUAAAGUAUUAUUUAAAGAAAAAAUUUAAAAUUUUAUAGAUUAAUAGUAUUGUAAAAUAAAUUUGAAAUAAUUGAAAAUAAAUUUGUUUAAAAGUAAUUUUCGUUUAUUGUAUCUUGUGUAUCAGAGUUUAUUUAAAAUUUUUAAUUUAAUUUUAAUUUCUCGAAUUUAAAAGAGUUAAAUAAUUAUUAAAGUUAUUGUAGCAAAACUAUUUUAAAUAAUUAUUUUGAAAUGAAAUGUUAAUCGUUUUUAAAUAUAUCUAGUUUUUUUAGAAAAAAAUUUAAUUUUAAAUUUUUUUUCAUGAUUUAAUUAAUUAAUUAAUUAAGUUAUAAUUAAAUUUUAUAUUUUAAGGGAUAAGCUUUAAAAAUUAAAUUUUUAUAAUAAAAUAAUUUUUUAUUUUGAAAAUUUUAUAAUUUGUAUUGUUAAUAAAUUUUAAUUUAUUAUAAAUAAUUUCAUUUUUUUUUAAAAUUUAAUGUUUUAUUUAAAUUUUUAUAAAAAAAUAAUUUUUAAUUAUAAAAUUUUAGGUAUAAUGAUAAAAUUAGUAUAUAUUAUUUAAUUUAUUAGUUUUAAAUUGAUGUUAUUUUAAUUUAAUUAAUUAAAAGGAAUUCGGCAAAUAUUUAUUUUCACUUGUUUAUCAAAAACAUGUCUUUUUGUGGUUUAUUUAAAGUCUAAUCUGCCCACUGAUUUAAAAUUAAAGGGCUGCAGUAUUUUGACUGUACAAAGGUAGCAUAAUCAUUAGUCUCUUAAUUGGUGACUUGUAUGAAAGAUUGAAUGAGAAAUAUACUGUCUCUUAAUUAAUUUAUAGAACUUAAUUUUUUAUUUAAAAAGUUAAAAUGAAUUAAAAAGACGAGAAGACCCUAUAGAGUUUAACAUUUAUUUUAUUAGUUAAAUUAUUUGUUUGUAUUUAAUUUUUAGUAAAUGAAAUGUUUUGUUGGGGUGAUAAAAAAAUAUAUUUAACUUUUUUUAAAAAAUUAACAUAAAUAAGUGGUUAGUUGAUCCAAUUUUAUUGAUUAUAAGAUUAAAUUACCUUAGGGAUAACAGCGUAAUUUUUUUUUUUAGUUCAAAUAAAAAAAAAAGUUUGCGACCUCGAUGUUGGAUUAAGAUAAAAUUUAAAUGCAAAAGUUUAAAAUUUUUGAUCUGUUCGAUCAUUAAAAUCUUACAUGAUCUGAGUUCAAACCGGUGUGAGCCAGGUUGGUUUCUAUCUUUUAAAAAAUUAAAUAUUUUAGUACGAAAGGAUCGAGUAUUUUAAUUAAAUUAUUUAUAUUUGAAUUUUAUUAAAUUAAAAAAAAUUUUAAAAAAUUUAUUGAAUUUAUUAUUUUAUG
RNAcentral lists this ribosomal RNA (1386 nucleotides) under Jankowskia athleta. RNAcentral describes it as "16S ribosomal RNA". The record is from RNAcentral. Lineage: Eukaryota; Metazoa; Arthropoda; Insecta; Lepidoptera; Geometridae.